RNAcentral lists this unclassified non-coding RNA (725 nucleotides) under Hevea brasiliensis (rubber tree). Lineage: Eukaryota; Viridiplantae; Streptophyta; Magnoliopsida; Malpighiales; Euphorbiaceae. The record is from RNAcentral.
CUUUCUUAACCAGUGCAUAUAUACCUGUUCCUUUCUUACAACUUCUACUUUCAGGGGUUCGGAGACAGACGAGAUUGUUCCUAAAUUUUGUGCCAAAUAAACAUUAAAGACAUACUAGAAAGUUACAUUCCCAAAGUGAGUGUUCCUCAAUCCUCCCUAGUCAAAUGGAUCAAUUCGUGGGUCAUGUUCACUUGCCAUCAACAUCCCAGUGCACAGGCAUGUAGGGCACAUUACCUUUCCAGCACCAGAACAGUUUGCACACCUUUGAGUUUUUGGUACUUGCAAGGGGCGAUUUGAAGCACUGGAUAGUGAGACGGGAUCAAUGCCCAAGCACACACCACUUGAUGAACAUCGGGCACAGGCCAAGUAUCCCGUUCCAUGGCAAUAUNUUCUUCUCUUGUUGCUCGACAUUAUUGGCCUCAAUCAGCAUCAAGGCUGAAAUGACACCUACUGCCCCACCUGAAAAGGAAGCCACAAUGGGAUCCACCUGACUCAGCUGCAUCGGCAAAUGCAUGCUACGUAUGAAAUCCUCAUAUGAGGUGCCACCAAGACCUAAUUUUAGUUCCAGAGUAGGAGCAAUUAGUCCCCCAAAUACGAUAAUCCCCGAUACAAAAGAUAAACUUGUAAGGUAAAGCUGCUUCAAUGUCUUCGAUGUCACACGAGGAAGAAAAGGGAUUGAUGAUGGGAUAUCAGGCAUUUCAUCUGCCUCUUCUCGUUCUUCUUCU